This 613-nucleotide ribosomal RNA is filed under the name uncultured bacterium. RNAcentral describes it as "bacterial SSU rRNA". It matches the Rfam family "Bacterial small subunit ribosomal RNA", at positions 62 to 606 of the family's 1533-position model. The record is from RNAcentral.
UCGGACGGAGUUAGCAGCAGCACUAAGGAUUUAGCCUUAAGCGAGAAGCGGUAAGGAUGAGGUAAGGUUUUGAUAAUGGUAAGAGCUUUUGGCUAAGGGCUUGGCGCUGUUGUUAACUUAGUGGCGGACGGGUGAGUAACACGUAGGUAACCUACCCUUAAGCCGGGGGCAACUCAGGGAAACUUGAGCUAAUACCCGAUAAGACCACGAGUUGGGAAGCUUGUGGUAAAAGGAGCGAUUCACUUAGGGAUGGGCCUGCGGCCUAUCAGGUAGUUGGUGGGGUAACGGCCUACCAAGCCGAAGACGGGUAGCCGGGCUGAGAGGUUGAACGGCCACACUGGAACUGAGAUACGGUCCAGACUCCUACGGGAGGCAGCAGUGGGGAAUAUUGCACAAUGGGGGAAACCCUGAUGCAGCGACGCCGCGUGGAGGAUGAAGGUCUUCGGGUUGUAAACUCCUUUUCUUGGGGAAGAUGAUGACGGUACCCAAGGAAUAAGCCACGGCUAACUCUGUGCCAGCAGCCGCGGUAAGACAGAGGUGGCGAGCGUUGUUCGGAAUUACUGGGCUUAAAGGGCGAGUAGGCGGUGGAGCAAGUCUGAUGUGGAAUCCUAAG